UCCAAGAAGACUUGAUCUUGCAGCUUCAAUCAUUCUAUAAAUUGCAUGGCAAACAGGAGAAGGGAAAGCAUGCAAGCUUAGAUAAUGGUAUUCCCGGUAGGGAAUCUUACUUGUUGAGGGAGCUAAUCUACACAAUUGGCAGAGGCAAACAAUACCCUUUCAAGAAAGGGAAACCAUGGAUAUUUGAUGGAAGCAUUUCUCCCGACCCCUCUUUCGUUUCGUGCAACUGACCGUCUAUGGCUGACGUCAAUGUCUUUUAAUAAUUCAGAAUAAGAGAGUAACAACAAUUCCUGGGAGAAUUAGGACACUGAAGAUGGAGUUACCGUGGACAGAGCAGAAGUUAUGGGAUAAAUGUGUGACCUAGACCUUCCUUCAUUGCUGGACUGAUAAUAGAUUCAACUCCCACACAGAAAUUGUUACGUGCCUCCUGGAUAUUAAUACCAUU
Molecule: non-coding RNA, 445 nt
Organism: Pantherophis guttatus
Lineage: Eukaryota; Metazoa; Chordata; Lepidosauria; Squamata; Colubridae
Source: RefSeq, a predicted model, not a curated record